RNAcentral lists this transfer RNA (74 nucleotides) under Myxococcales bacterium. RNAcentral describes it as "tRNA-Gly". It matches the Rfam family "tRNA". Rfam says of the family: Transfer RNA (tRNA) molecules are approximately 80 nucleotides in length. Their secondary structure includes four short double-helical elements and three loops (D, anti-codon, and T loops). RNAcentral also lists the same sequence under 1 other name. The record is from RNAcentral. Lineage: Bacteria; Pseudomonadati; Myxococcota; Myxococcia; Myxococcales.
GCGGCGUUGGUUCAAGAGAAGAACACGAGGGUGCCAACCUCGAGAUCCGGGUGCGAUUCCCGGACGCCGCUCCA